RNA transcript from Panicum virgatum (switchgrass), 2036 nucleotides. It is a transcript of the gene named bZIP transcription factor 44-like, with no coding region annotated. NCBI's taxonomy places the organism in Eukaryota, Viridiplantae, Streptophyta, Magnoliopsida, Poales, Poaceae. The transcript is spliced from 2 exons. The record is from RefSeq and is a predicted model, not a curated record.
UGGCCCCCUCCUCCAGGCUUCAAUUCCCUUUUCCCCUCUUCCCCACCUCCCUUGCUAGGUUUCCUUCCACCACUACGUUCUGCCCUUCAGCUCCCCUAGUCUGCUCAGUAACAGCAAGGCUUGUUGCUGACACACCUCAGUCUCUUGACCUGCUGCGAGCUCAGCCCAGCCUUUCCUUGAAAUUCCAACCUUUCUCUCUGAAACUUCCUGGUUCCAAGGAGAGGUUCUGCCAGAAUUUCUGGUCCCAAAGAUCGAUUUUCAAGGGGAGGUUCUGUCAAAUUUUCCUCUUGUGAACGUAGAUUUCCCAGGGGAGGUUCUGCCGAAAUUUUCUGCACUGACCACUCACUUUUCCAAGGGGAGGUUCUGCCAAAAUUUUCUGAGCUGACCAUCAAUUUUCAAGGGGAGGUUCUGACAAAAUUUUCCUCUCUCACCAUCAGUUCUCCAAGGGGAAGUUCUGCCAAAAAAAAAUUUUGAGCAAGAACCUGCCCUUUCUUGACGCGCACAUACAUAUAUAUACACACAAACAAAUUCUAAUUUUAACUGAAGAAGAGUACUUUGAUCCUUGUUCUUGAUGAUAGACUUGCAAAGAAGCCGCGCAGCAUCUGAUUAGAUGUUGUUGCUCGUCCUGUCCGAGCUCCCCCUUUCUGGUUUUAUGGUCGGCUCCACCAUCACCCGCCUUGUGCAGUCCUUCUCCGUCGUCUUCCUCUACUGGUUCUAUGUCUUCUCAGUAGCAUCCCUGUAGUUAGUUGUAAUUUUGCAACUAACUAAGUUUUCUCUAUAGGAUAUAAUUAAGAUAGUAACAAAGGGGUACGUAUACGUGACACAUAAGAGCUGAAAUAGUUGAGAGUACACAAGAGGUGGUGAGACGUGACCAUGUCAAGUGGGACCUUGUCUGGGUCGAGUUUAGGGACCCGGAGCUCCAAGUCGGAGGAUGACCUGGACCUCCAGGCCCAGAUGGAGAGGAGGAGGAAGCGCAGGAAGGAGUCCAACCGGGAGUCGGCUCGGAGGUCUAGGCUGCGAAAGCAGCAGCAUCUUGACGACCUCACCUCACAGGCUUGCACUCAUGUGCAGGUGAAAAAGCAAAACAGAUGUGAACAAAGGCCACUUGAAAUAUCUGGCCAAACAAGCUCAAUAAUUGUGCUGCCUUUCCCCAAAGGCCCCACAAAAUCAUCUGUUGCUUGCUAGCCAAUUCACAGAAUAAAGCAACAAAUAAAUAAAUCUAAGAUCAUGAUUUUCUCUAACCAUAUUUCGAUUUUUUCAUCAAAAUUGUACCUGCUUAAAAAAGAGGAAAAGGUCAAAUUCAUAUCGCUAAGAGGUAUGGUAUUGUGUGGUAAAAUAGGUAAAACACCUGAAGGACCAGAACAAACAGCUCAGCUUGGCACUAAGCAUAACCAGCCAAAACCUUGUGGCAGUGCAAGCACAAAACUCUGUUCUGCAGACCCAGAAGAUGGAGCUGGACAGCAGGCUGAGUGCCCUGACUGAGAUCCUCUGUUACAUGAACACCAUCACUUGCACCAAUGCAAGUGCUCCUGCAAAUCCAGCCAUGGCGAACAACAUCACAUCCAGCAGCUCCUAUGAUCUUCUUGGUGCCAGCUGCACAUGGAACCAGCAGCCAAUAGACAUGUACCAGUGCUUCUAGCUCUACAAGAGAGAAGUGGUUGUUACAUGACAUAGUGGUAGGGCCAGAAGGAAAGGAGGCAGACAGGCAUCAAGCUCUUUUCAAUCAUGUAGGGUCUUUGUGUCACUAUUGAUGUAUGCUUGAUGCCUCUCUCUUAAUUGUGUAUUUUGGAGGAGAUAGAGAUGUUUUGGUUUUCUUGUUGCUGGUGGUAGAGCCUAAAGGAUGGGGAAAUAGCGAAGUUGUGCUUGGCAUUGUGUGAGGUGGAGGGUGUUGUACUCCGGUAGUUGAGGGUAGAGGGGAAAUAAUAUUGGGCCAGACUGUGAAAGAGAAAGGCAGGGGAUUUUGUACUGGCUCAAACUAAUGCAUAAAUGCGUAAUGAUGAUGAUGAUGUUUAUUAAGAUGUCGAUUUGAUGGCUCC